AUGAGCUCGGAGCCGGAGGUCGUCCACAGCGGCGGGUGCCACUGCCGGCGCGUGCGGUGGCAGGUGGAGGCGCCGGCGAGCGUGGUGGCGUGGGUCUGCAACUGCUCCGACUGCUCCAUGCGGGGGAACACCCACUUCGUCGUGCCCAAGGACAAGUUCGCGCUCCAGCCCGGCGCCGGCGACUUCCUCACCACCUACACCUUCGGCACCCACACGGCCAAGCACACCUUCUGCAAGGUGUGCGGGAUCACCUCCUUCUACAUCCCGAGGUCCAACCCCGACGGCGUCGCCAUCACCGCGGCCUGCGUCGACCCCGGCACCCUGGCGCACGUCGAGUACAGGAAGGCGGACGGGAGGAACUGGGAGAAGUGGAUCGAGGGGAGCGGCAUCUCCGAGUUCUCCAAGCCUAAGGCCGCCGAGUAG
Molecule: ribosomal RNA, 423 nt
Filed under: Triticum aestivum (bread wheat)
Lineage: Eukaryota; Viridiplantae; Streptophyta; Magnoliopsida; Poales; Poaceae
Description: partial small subunit ribosomal RNA
Source: RNAcentral